Molecule: ribosomal RNA, 686 nt
Filed under: Enterococcus faecium
Lineage: Bacteria; Bacillati; Bacillota; Bacilli; Lactobacillales; Enterococcaceae
Description: bacterial SSU rRNA
Rfam family: Bacterial small subunit ribosomal RNA
Source: RNAcentral
GGAAACAGGUGCUAAUACCGUAUAACAAUCAAAACCGCAUGGUUUUGAUUUGAAAGGCGCUUUCGGGUGUCGCUGAUGGAUGGACCCGCGGUGCAUUAGCUAGUUGGUGAGGUAACGGCUCACCAAGGCCACGAUGCAUAGCCGACCUGAGAGGGUGAUCGGCCACAUUGGGACUGAGACACGGCCCAAACUCCUACGGGAGGCAGCAGUAGGGAAUCUUCGGCAAUGGACGAAAGUCUGACCGAGCAACGCCGCGUGAGUGAAGAAGGUUUUCGGAUCGUAAAACUCUGUUGUUAGAGAAGAACAAGGAUGAGAGUAACUGUUCAUCCCUUGACGGUAUCUAACCAGAAAGCCACGGCUAACUACGUGCCAGCAGCCGCGGUAAUACGUAGGUGGCAAGCGUUGUCCGGAUUUAUUGGGCGUAAAGCGAGCGCAGGCGGUUUCUUAAGUCUGAUGUGAAAGCCCCCGGCUCAACCGGGGAGGGUCAUUGGAAACUGGGAGACUUGAGUGCAGAAGAGGAGAGUGGAAUUCCAUGUGUAGCGGUGAAAUGCGUAGAUAUAUGGAGGAACACCAGUGGCGAAGGCGGCUCUCUGGUCUGUAACUGACGCUGAGGCUCGAAAGCGUGGGGAGCAAACAGGAUUAGAUACCCUGGUAGUCCACGCCGUAAACGAUGAGUGCUAAGUGUU